UGUUUAUCAAAAACAUGGCUUCCUGUUGUUUGAGGAAAGGAGGUCUGGCCUGCCCGGUGGGGGGAACCCUAAACGGUCGCAGCUGCCACUGUGCGAAGGUAGCGUAAUAGGUCGUCCUUUAAUUGAGGGAAAGUAUGAAUGGUCGGAUGUUGGAAAGACUUUAUUAGAAGCACAGGCUAAAUUUUACUUCUUAGUGCAAAGGCUAGGAUAAAAUUAUUAGACGAGAAGACCCUGUUGAGCUUGGUAAACUUUUUCUCAAUUUGGGUUAAGGUUAUAUUUUUUCGGGGCUGAAAGGAAGGGAAAUGGACGCCUUCUAUUAUAGUGUGUAGAUCCAGUAUGAUUGAUAAGUGGAAGAUAGCUACCACAGGGAUAACAGCGCAAUCUUCUUGAUAAGGCCAAAUUUAAGAGAUGGUUUGCGACCUCGAUGUUGAAUCAGGAUUUCUACUAGGUGUAGCAGCUUAGUAAGUGGGACUGUUCGUCCUUUAAAAUUCUACGUGAUCUGAGUUCAGACCG
Molecule: ribosomal RNA, 513 nt
Filed under: Nitidotellina iridella
Lineage: Eukaryota; Metazoa; Mollusca; Bivalvia; Cardiida; Tellinidae
Description: partial 16S ribosomal RNA
Rfam family: Bacterial large subunit ribosomal RNA
Source: RNAcentral